RNAcentral lists this signal recognition particle RNA (299 nucleotides) under Myripristis murdjan (pinecone soldierfish). Its description in RNAcentral is "Metazoan signal recognition particle RNA (ENSMMDG00005019060.1)". It matches the Rfam family "Metazoan signal recognition particle RNA". From Rfam's summary of the family: The signal recognition particle (SRP) is a universally conserved ribonucleoprotein. It is involved in the co-translational targeting of proteins to membranes. Lineage: Eukaryota; Metazoa; Chordata; Actinopteri; Holocentriformes; Holocentridae. The record is from Rfam by way of RNAcentral.
GCCGGGUGCGGUGGCGCGCGCCUGUAAUCCAAGCUACCGGGAGGCUGAGGCUGGCGGAUCGUUUGAGCUCAGGAGUUCUGAGCUGCAGCGGACUAUGCCGAUCGGGUGUCCGCACUAAGCUCGGUAUCGAUAUGGUGCUCCUGGGGGAGCCCGGGACCACCAGGUCGCCUAAGGAGGGGUGCACCGGCCCAGGUCGGAAACGGAGCAGGUCAAAGCCCCCGUGCCGCUCAGUAGUGGGAUCGCGCCUGUGAAUAGACGCUGUAGUGCAGCCUGAGUAAUACAGCGGGACCCAGUCUUUU